CACACCUAAAAAACUUUCCACGUGAACCGUUUCAACCCAAUAGUUGGGGGUCUUAUUUGGCGGCGGCUGCUGGCUUAAUUGUUGGCGGCUGCUGCUGAGUGAGCCCUAUCAAAAAAAAAGGCGAACGUUUGGGCUUCGGCCUGAUUUAGUAGUCUUUUUUUCUUUUAAACCCAUUCCUUAAUACUGAAUAUACUGUGGGGACGAAAGUCUCUGCUUUUAACUAGAUAGCAACUUUCAGCAGUGGAUGUCUAGGCUCGCACAUCGAUGAAGAACGCUGCGAACUGCGAUACGUAAUGCGAAUUGCAGGAUUCAGUGAGUCAUCGAAAUUUUGAACGCAUAUUGCACUUCCGGSUUAGUCCUGGAAGUAUGCCUGUAUCAGUGUCGUACAUUAAACUGACUUUCUUCCUUCCGUGUAGUCGGUGGAGGAGAUGUCAGAUGUGAAGUGUCUUGCGAUUGGUCUUCGGACCGGCUGCGAGUCCUUUUAAAUGUACUAAACUGAACUUCUCUUUGCUCGAAAAGUGGUGG
The sequence is a ribosomal RNA, 525 nucleotides long. The stretch from base 230 to 384 matches the Rfam family "5.8S ribosomal RNA".